Lemur catta (Ring-tailed lemur) is the source of this 294-nucleotide long non-coding RNA. RefSeq lists it as uncharacterized. The transcript has 3 exons. NCBI's taxonomy places the organism in Eukaryota, Metazoa, Chordata, Mammalia, Primates, Lemuridae. The record is from RefSeq and is a predicted model, not a curated record.
CGACAACUAAAUGUGAUAUGGUAUUCUUGGUGGCAUCCUGGAACAGGAAAAGGAUAUUAGUGGCUUAAAAUACAGGAUUUGGAGUGGAGCAGACCCAGGAUCAAAGCCCAGGAGCUGUCCUCGCCAUAUCCACCUCCGUUCGGUGGGUACAACAAUAGUAACGGCCUCACGGAGUGGCUUUGCGGAUUAAACCAGGAAAUGCAUGUGAGCUCUCAGCACAGAGCCGGCCACACAGCACAUGCUUGCCGGAGCAGCCACUUGUCCAUCGCCAGCGGCCGGGAAGAGCAGGCGAAG